Molecule: long non-coding RNA, 415 nt
Organism: Rhincodon typus (whale shark)
Lineage: Eukaryota; Metazoa; Chordata; Chondrichthyes; Orectolobiformes; Rhincodontidae
Exons: 4
Source: RefSeq, a predicted model, not a curated record
UCACGAAGGUGGGUAACCACCACUUCCCUAUUUUGUGAACUACCUGUAACAUCCUUCAAGCCAGUAGCGGAUGUGCAAUUGUCUAUCACAGAAAGACACCGAACAGACAUGUUCCUGCACUACACUCGCUUGGUCUUAAGGAAAAUUCUCAACAGUGUUUUAUUCUGGUGGAGAUUUAUGUUGGUGGAAUCUAGGAACCAUGGAGGAACACAGAGAUGUAGAGCCCCUAGUACAGUAUUCAUUGAAAGUUUGUGAGCAGCCCAAACUGCACUUGACCAGAUUCAAGGUUGAAUCUUUCUCCUACUUAACAAAAGCAGUUGAGUUUCAAGACCCAGCUCCAAGUGCAGCGACAAGACAACUGUGUGAAAGUCUCACAUUCACUUCAGAAUCACAACAGGAGCAGACAGGUCUGGGU